GACGAACGCUGGCGGCGUGCUUAACACAUGCAAGUCGAACGAUGAAGCUGGAGCUUGCUCCGGUGGAUUAGUGGCGAACGGGUGAGUAACACGUGAGCAAUCUGCCCUUGACUCUGGGAUAACUGCGGGAAACUGUAGCUAAUACCGGAUACUUUCACUGGAAGGCAUCUUCUGGUGAAGAAAGAAUUUCGGUCAAGGAUGAGCUCGCGGCCUAUCAGCUUGUUGGUGAGGUAACGGCUCACCAAGGCGACGACGGGUAGCCGGCCUGAGAGGGGGACCGGCCCGACUGGGACUGGAACCCGGCCCAGACUCCUACGGGAGGCAGCAGUGGGGAAGAUUGCACAAUGAGCGCAAGCCUGAUGCAGCAACGCCGCGUGAGGGAUGAAGGCCUUCGGGUUGUAAACCACUUUUAGCAGGGAAGGAGCGAAAGUGACGGUACCUGCAGAAAAAGCACCGGCUAACUACGUGCCAGCCGCCGCCGUAA
Molecule: ribosomal RNA, 484 nt
Filed under: uncultured bacterium
Lineage: Bacteria
Description: partial 16S ribosomal RNA
Rfam family: Bacterial small subunit ribosomal RNA
Source: RNAcentral